Molecule: long non-coding RNA, 548 nt
Filed under: Salmo salar (Atlantic salmon)
Lineage: Eukaryota; Metazoa; Chordata; Actinopteri; Salmoniformes; Salmonidae
Description: lncRNA (ENSSSAG00000082509.1)
Source: RNAcentral
UCAAAGUGCUGUACAGAAACCCAGCCUAAAACCCCAAACAGCAAGCAAAGCAUGUGAAAGAAGCACGGUGGCUAGGAAAAACUCCCUAGGAAAAACUCCCUAGAAAGGCCAAAAACCUAGGAAGAAACCUAGAGAGGAACCAGGCUAUGAGGGGUGGCCAGUCCUCUUCUGGCUGUGCAGGGUGGAUAUUAUAACAGAACAUGGUCAAGAUGUUAAAAUGUUAAAAUGUUCAUAAAUGACCAGCAUGGUCAAAUAAUAAUAAUCAUAGUAGUUGUCGAGGGUGCAACAAGCACGUCCGGUGAACAGGUCAGGGUUCCAUAGCUGCAGGCAGAACAGUUGAAACCGGAGCAGCAGCACGGCCAGGUGGACUGGGGACAGCAAGGAGUCAUCAUACCAGGUAGUCCUGAGGCAUGGUCCUAGGGCUCAGGUCCUCCGAGAGAAAGACAGAAAGAGAGAAAGAGAGAAUUAGAGAGAGCAUAUUUAAAUACACACAGGACACCGGAUAAGACAAGAGAAAUACUCCAGAUGUAACAGACUGACCCUAGCCC